RNAcentral lists this ribosomal RNA (253 nucleotides) under uncultured bacterium. RNAcentral describes it as "partial 16S ribosomal RNA". It matches the Rfam family "Bacterial small subunit ribosomal RNA", at positions 524 to 776 of the family's 1533-position model. The record is from RNAcentral.
UACGAAGGGGGCUAGCGUUGCUCGGAAUCACUGGGCGUAAAGGGUGCGUAGGCGGUUCUUUAAGUCAGGGGUGAAAUCCUGGAGCUUAACUCCAGAACUGCCUUUGAUACUGGAGAUCUUGAGUUCGGGAGAGGUGAGUGGAACUGCGAGUGUAGAGGCGAAAUUCGUAGAUAUUCGCAAGAACACCAGUGGCGAAGGCGGCUCACUGGCCCGAUACUGACGCUGAGGCACGAAAGCGUGGGGAGCAAACAGG